This 448-nucleotide ribosomal RNA is filed under the name uncultured bacterium. Its description in RNAcentral is "bacterial SSU rRNA". It matches the Rfam family "Bacterial small subunit ribosomal RNA", at positions 328 to 793 of the family's 1533-position model. The record is from RNAcentral.
UUUCCAGACUCCUACGGGAGGCAGCAGUGGGGAAUAUUGCACAAUGGGGGAAACCCUGAUGCAGCGACGCCGCGUGAGUGAAGAAGUAUUUCGGUAUGUAAAGCUCUAUCAGCAGGGAAGAAAAUGACGGUACCUGACUAAGAAGCCCCGGCUAACUACGUGCCAGCAGCCGCGGUAAUACGUAGGGGGCAAGCGUUAUCCGGAUUUACUGGGUGUAAAGGGAGCGUAGACGGCAGCGCAAGUCUGAAGUGAAAUCCCACGGCUUAACCAUGGAACUGCUUUGGAAACUGUGCAGCUGGAGUGCAGGAGAGGUAAGCGGAAUUCCUAGUGUAGCGGUGAAAUGCGUAGAUAUUAGGAGGAACACCAGUGGCGAAGGCGGCUUACUGGACUGUAACUGACGUUGAGGCUCGAAAGCGUGGGGAGCAAACAGGAUUAGAUACCCCCGUAC